UGGACUUGAGUGUUGUUGUUUUACCUCUGGAUCUUGAUAGGGCAACCUGGACUAUAAGUUUUGCAGCCGUGGAAGUGUCGAAGAACUCAAUGUCUGAGAUCAAUUGCUUAUUCUGAGUCUCAAAUCUUUAUCAAAAUAAUCUGCAGAUUUGAUUUUCAGCUUGUGGAUAUGCAGUGGAAAAAAUCUUAGAUAUUCUUACUAGUAUUAAUGGCCAAGUCUUG
This 221-nucleotide unclassified non-coding RNA is filed under the name Hevea brasiliensis (rubber tree). Lineage: Eukaryota; Viridiplantae; Streptophyta; Magnoliopsida; Malpighiales; Euphorbiaceae. The record is from RNAcentral.